GGGUUGUGAGGUUAAGCGACUAAGCGUACACGGUGGAUGCCCUGGCAGUCAGAGGCGAUGAAGGGCGUGCUAAUCUGCGAUAAGCGCCGGUAAGGUGAUAUGAACCGUUAUAACCGGCGAUACCCGAAUGGGGAAACCCAGUGUGAUUCGUCACACUAUCAUUAACUGAAUCCAUAGGUUAAUGAGGCGAACCGGGGGAACUGAAACAUCUAAGUACCCCGAGGAAAAGAAAUCAACCGAGAUUCCCCCAGUAGCGGCGAGCGAACGGGGAGGAGCCCAGAGCCUGAAUCAGCAUGUGUGUUAGUGGAAGCGUCUGGAAAGGUGCGCGAUACAGGGUGACAGCCCCGUACACAAAAGCGCAUGUGCUGUGAGCUCGAUGAGUAGGGCGGGACACGUGAUAUCCUGUCUGAAUAUGGGGGGACCAUCCUCCAAGGCUAAAUACUCCUGACUGACCGAUAGUGAACCAGUACCGUGAGGGAAAGGCGAAAAGAACCCCGGCGAGGGGAGUGAAAAAGAACCUGAAACCGUGUACGUACAAGCAGUGGGAGCACAGGUUUACCUGUGUGACUGCGUACCUUUUGUAUAAUGGGUCAGCGACUUAUAUUCUGUAGCAAGGUUAACCGUAUAGGGGAGCCGUAGGGAAACCGAGUCUUAACCGGGCGUUAAGUUGCAGGGUAUAGACCCGAAACCCGGUGAUCUAGCCAUGGGCAGGUUGAAGGUUGGGUAACACUAACUGGAGGACCGAACCGACUAAUGUUGAAAAAUUAGCGGAUGACCUGUGGCUGGGGGUGAAAGGCCAAUCAAACCGGGAGAUAGCUGGUUCUCCCCGAAAGCUAUUUAGGUAGCGCCUCGUGAAUUCAUCUCCGGGGGUAGAGCACUGUUUCGGCUAGGGGGCCAUCCCGGCUUACCAACCCGAUGCAAACUGCGAAUACCGGAGAAUGUUAUCACGGGAGACACACGGCGGGUGCUAACGUCCGUCGUGAAGAGGGAAACAACCCAGACCGCCAGCUAAGGUCCCAAAGUCAUGGUUAAGUGGGAAACGAUGUGGGAAGGCCCAGACAGCCAGGAUGUUGGCUUAGAAGCAGCCAUCAUUUAAAGAAAGCGUAAUAGCUCACUGGUCGAGUCGGCCUGCGCGGAAGAUGUAACGGGGCUAAACCAUGCACCGAAGCUGCGGCAGCGAACGUAUCACCCAAGACAACUUUACGGAGUUGACGAUUGACGGAGCGAAGCGACGUCAAAGCGUUCAUUAAAGUCGAGUUGGCUUAGGGAUACGUUCGUUGGGUAGGGGAGCGUUCUGUAAGCCUGUGAAGGUGUGUCGUGAGGCAUGCUGGAGGUAUCAGAAGUGCGAAUGCUGACAUAAGUAACGAUAAAGCGGGUGAAAAGCCCGCUCGCCGGAAGACCAAGGGUUCCUGUCCAACGUUAAUCGGGGCAGGGUGAGUCGACCCCUAAGGCGAGGCCGAAAGGCGUAGUCGAU
This 1474-nucleotide ribosomal RNA is filed under the name Salmonella enterica subsp. enterica serovar Typhimurium. RNAcentral describes it as "bacterial LSU rRNA". It matches the Rfam family "Bacterial large subunit ribosomal RNA", at positions 1 to 1419 of the family's 2925-position model. Lineage: Bacteria; Pseudomonadati; Pseudomonadota; Gammaproteobacteria; Enterobacterales; Enterobacteriaceae. The record is from RNAcentral.